RNAcentral lists this long non-coding RNA (1081 nucleotides) under Panax ginseng (ginseng). RNAcentral's name for it is "long non-coding RNA (PGIN_LNC009342)". The record is from RNAcentral. Lineage: Eukaryota; Viridiplantae; Streptophyta; Magnoliopsida; Apiales; Araliaceae.
AGAAAUUCUUAUUAUAUAAUAUUGUGAGUAUUUUUCUUGAGUAUAAGAAUACUUUGAGCGUAGUUUUUCUGCAAGAUUUUCUCCAGUCAAAUCCAGUUUCUACUAAGGUAAAUGAUAUUAUUUUAUUGCAAUACUCAUGAGAAAUAUUAUUUCCUUUCAUACUUCAUAUUAUGUAAGCGAUAUUAUUUCAUCUCGUAUUCCUAAAUUUGAACUUACUAUGGUAAGUAUUGCUUCUAUAAUUUCUGAAAUGAUUAGAAAUUUCGCUUCAUCUAAUAUCAUUUCAUAGGAAUAUUGGUCUGAACAUUUUAUCAAAUUUGAAACUUUUCAUGAUUGGGUACUGUUCACGGGUACUGUUCAUACGGUAUUAUUCACGGGUACUGUUCACGGUUACUGUUCACAAAAGAAAAAAAAAUUAUUUUUUUUCCUUCCAAGUUAUCUGUUAUGACCCUUAUUCGUGAAAUUUAAUCCAUGUUUUGAUUUUUCAUCAUCCUCAGUCCUAAAUGAUGAUAUUACUGAAUAUCUUUGGCCUGUAGUGCAAAUAUGAAUAAUUAACUAACGAAUAUCUUUGGCCCGUAGUGCAAAGAUGAAUAGGUGUUGAGAUGAACAUGACCGACUGGUGAUACGAAUGAAUAUCUUUGGCCUGUAGAACUCAUUCUCUACUUGACUCUUUUAAUGGAUUGUUGUUUUCGCUGCAGUUGUUGAUCUAAAACUUGUUGUCUAUUAUAUUCUAUCAGAUUUUUCCCUGUUGAGGACUAAUGAUAAUUUGUUGUAUAUUAUCUUAGUCAUAAUAUUCUUUACUAGGCUAGUUGAGCUCACCUUUUUCCUUGUUGUUUCAUUUUUCUUCUCAGGAGGUGAGAAUUUAGCAGGGACUAGCCGGGGUAUGGAGUAAUGAUUCAAGAUAGUUGUUUUAGUAGUCCUCACUAUUUUGUAAAAUAGUGUUUCAAUAAUUGUAAAGAGGACUUAUUUGGGUGUGGAUAUUGUCUAGAAGACAAUAUUUGUAUUUAAACUCACAGCUUGUGUAUUUGUCGUAUUUUACACGACAAUUGUAUUAAUAAACUUAUAGUUAUUUCUGUACCAUGUA